CCAAGUGAUCGCCUUGACGCUUGGAGAACAAGAAGCUCUGUAGGUACUCAAGGAAUCGCUGUAGAUGAUGGAGUGGUAUGUUUUGGUGUUGAUGCUGAGCUUGCCAAGCUUGAGUCAGGCAGAUUGUUCAGAGCAAUGCAUGAGAUGCGCGCAACAGAUCUCCGACCUGGACUCUGCAGUGAACCGCUUGACUUGCACUUUAGAAUGUGAAGGAGCCG
Carassius auratus (goldfish) is the source of this 218-nucleotide long non-coding RNA. RefSeq lists it as uncharacterized. Lineage: Eukaryota; Metazoa; Chordata; Actinopteri; Cypriniformes; Cyprinidae. The record is from RefSeq and is a predicted model, not a curated record. The transcript has 3 exons.